AUCCUAGCCACGUGUCCGACCUGUGUAUCCAUCGCAAUAAUUGACACACAUAUCAUCUCUUAUUGAAUCUUCUUUUCUCUCAGAGUGUACCCUCCGAAUUGAGUCUUACUUCCUCUUGCCGUUUCAGUUUCAAAGGCAGUAACUCAUAGAGGGUGUGUUCGAGAGAGAUGGAUAGAGAAAUGCAAAAUAGCAGCCUGUACAUAUCGCGUGGCCGGCCAGAAGGAUCUGAAAGCGGUGGAAUUAUUAGCAAGAAUCUUGACGAUGAUGGUCGACCAAAAAGAACUGGAACAUGGAUAACUGCAAGUGCCCAUAUUAUCACUGCUGUGAUCGGAUCUGGAGUACUAUCUCUGGCAUGGGCUAUAGCACAGUUAGGAUGGGUGGUUGGGCCGCUUGUUCUCGUGGUGUUCUCUUUCAUCACUUUUUUCACGUCCACUCUUCUUGCCGAUUCCUACAGGUCUCCCGACCCUAUCACUGGCAAUAGAAACUAUACUUACAUGGAUGCUGUGAGAGCCAACUUAGGAGGCAGGAAAGUUCAGCUCUGUGGGUUGGCACAGUACGUGAAUCUGAUAGGAAUUACAGUUGGUUACACCAUCACUGCAUCUAUUAGCAUGGUGGCUGUUAGGAGGUCAAAUUGUUUCCACAAACAUGGGCAUGCUGUGAAGUGCCAGACGUCAAAUAAUCCAUACAUGAUAAUCUUUGCGUGCAUCCAAAUCAUGCUUAGCCAGAUACCAAACUUCCACAAGCUCUCAUGGCUGUCGAUUCUUGCAGCAGUGAUGUCUUUUGCUUAUGCUUCCAUUGGCCUUGGACUAUCCUUAGCAAAAGUAAUCGGCGGCGCGCAUGCAAGGACAAGCUUAACAGGAGUAACAGUUGGGGUGGACGUGUCAGCACAACAGAAAGUCUGGAGGACCUUCCAAGCCCUUGGGGACAUUGCCUUUGCGUAUGCUUACUCUACUGUGCUCAUCGAGAUACAGGACACGCUGAAAUCAAGUCCCCCAGAGAACAAAGCUAUGAAGAGAGCAAGCUUUGUUGGCAUCCUGACAACAACCACGUUCUACAUUCUCUGUGGUUGUCUUGGUUAUGCAGCUUUUGGAAAUGAUGCACCGGGCAAUUUCCUUACUGGUUUUGGAUUCUACGAGCCUUUCGUGCUAAUUGACAUCGCAAAUGUAUGCAUAGCUAUCCACCUUAUUGGUGCCUACCAGGUAUUCUGCCAGCCAAUCUUCAGUUUUGUGGAGAGCAGAUGCCACAGAAGAUGGCCUGAUAGCAAGUUCAUAACAAGUGAGCACGCCAUUAACAUUCCAUUUUAUGGUGUGUAUUACCUCAACUUAUUCAGGCUAGUGUGGAGAACUUUAUACGUUAUAGUGACAGCAGUUCUAGCCAUGAUCCUUCCAUUCUUCAACGACUUCUUGGCUCUUCUUGGGGCGAUCUCUUUCUGGCCGUUGACAGUUUAUUUUCCCGUAGAGAUGUAUAUGGCGAGGACAAAAAUGCCAAAAUUCUCUUUCAGGUGGACCUCCCUGAAGAUGUUGAGUUGGGCCUGCCUGGCAGUAUCGCUUGUUUCUGCUGCCGGAUCAGUUGAAGGCCUGAUCCAAGCUCUCAAGACAUAUAAGCCCUUCAAAGCCCAGCAAUGAUUCUGUUCCGUGAUCAUACUUUCACACGGCUCAAACCAGAAAGUCAGAGAAUCAGUCUGUACUUUACUCAUGAUGCUGAGCAAUAUCAAAUCACCUACCUGUAUUCCGUCAAUUAUAAGUAAAACUCACAUGAUCAUGUCAGAGAGAAACUGCAUUAACACUGAUCGGGAUCUCCUAUUCUAUCAGUCAGAAGCAAUAAGGAAACCCAAACCAGAGCAUCAAAGUUAAAGGUUCUCUGUCUGGUAUCCAAGAUGGUCUUGAGAGAUGAAACGUGUAUUGAAAGCUCUUUUACACCAAAACUCCAAAACUGUUCAAGUACUUUUCCUUUAAAUUCAUCCAUUCAUAAACCCAAGUAACAAGAAAUACUGCUUGAGCGUCUGAUAUCCAAAAGUCCACUCUGUGUGUAUGUCUAUUUGCUCUCAGCUAGAAAAUACACUUCUCUUUAAUUUUUUCACUA
Molecule: RNA transcript, 2082 nt
Organism: Populus trichocarpa (black cottonwood)
Lineage: Eukaryota; Viridiplantae; Streptophyta; Magnoliopsida; Malpighiales; Salicaceae
Gene name: amino acid permease 6
Exons: 8
Source: RefSeq, a predicted model, not a curated record